UACAGAGGCCUCAAGCGUUAAUCGGAAUCACUGGGCUUAAAGCGUGCGUAGGCGGACAUGCAAGCAUGUUGGGAAAUCCCAUGGCUCAACCAUGGAACUGCUUCGUGAACUGCAUGUCUUGAGACAAGUAGGGGUGGUCGGAACGAUAGGUGGAGCGGUGAAAUGCGUAGAUAUCAAGUGGAACACCAGUGGCGAAGGCGAAUCCCUGGAAAAUACCUGACACUGAGGCACGAAAGCGUGGGGAGCAAACAGG
This 253-nucleotide ribosomal RNA is filed under the name uncultured bacterium. Its description in RNAcentral is "partial 16S ribosomal RNA". It matches the Rfam family "Bacterial small subunit ribosomal RNA", at positions 524 to 776 of the family's 1533-position model. The record is from RNAcentral.